Molecule: transfer RNA, 74 nt
Filed under: Pediococcus pentosaceus
Lineage: Bacteria; Bacillati; Bacillota; Bacilli; Lactobacillales; Lactobacillaceae
Description: tRNA-Asn
Rfam family: tRNA
About the family: Transfer RNA (tRNA) molecules are approximately 80 nucleotides in length. Their secondary structure includes four short double-helical elements and three loops (D, anti-codon, and T loops). Further hydrogen bonds mediate the characteristic L-shaped molecular structure. tRNAs have two regions of fundamental functional importance: the anti-codon, which is responsible for specific mRNA codon recognition, and the 3' end, to which the tRNAs corresponding amino acid is attached (by aminoacyl-tRNA synthetases). tRNAs cope with the degeneracy of the genetic code in two manners: having more than one tRNA (with a specific anti-codon) for a particular amino acid; and 'wobble' base-pairing, i.e. permitting non-standard base-pairing at the 3rd anti-codon position.
Source: RNAcentral
GUAGAUGUAGCUCAGUUGGUUAGAGCAUCUGACUGUUAAUCAGAAUGUCGCAGGUUCGAUUCCUGCCAUCUACG